Molecule: non-coding RNA, 390 nt
Organism: Manis javanica (Malayan pangolin)
Lineage: Eukaryota; Metazoa; Chordata; Mammalia; Pholidota; Manidae
Source: RefSeq, a predicted model, not a curated record
GGCCAUAAGAUGCAGAGCCGUGUGAUGGAGAAGGGUGGUGUGUGAGGCUUCACGUGACCUGCGCUGCGAAGAGUACACUCUGGAAGAGGCUUCAGUACUGACAUCACACAGACGGCUCUCAAACCACACCGGGGGACUGCCUCAUGCGAUUGGAUCGCUAAUCCAAGAUCCACGAGCAUCAGAAUUCAUGUCCUGGAGCUGAAUAUGAAAAUUGGGAGACGCGUAGCUGUAAUGGAAUGCUGAGAGCUGAAAGUCUACAGCUUUCCAGCAAACUAUGGGAAAGGAGUAGAGAGAUUCUCACAGCUCUCUCACUAUGGACCCAGUCUCCUAGUGACUGUAAUGACUCAUGAAUGUGAACUCAGCUGUCAUCAAUGUUUUCACAACCACUUU